This 460-nucleotide ribosomal RNA is filed under the name uncultured bacterium. Its description in RNAcentral is "partial 16S ribosomal RNA". It matches the Rfam family "Bacterial small subunit ribosomal RNA", at positions 338 to 795 of the family's 1533-position model. The record is from RNAcentral.
CCUACGGGAGGCAGCAGUGAGGAAUAUUGGUCAAUGGACGAGAGUCUGAACCAGCCAAGUAGCGUGAAGGAUGACUGCCCUAUGGGUUGUAAACUUCUUUUAUAUGGGAAUAACAUGUUCCACGAGUGGGAUUUUGUAUGUACCAUAUGAAUAAGGAUCGGCUAACUCCGUGCCAGCAGCCGCGGUAAUACGGAGGAUUCGAUCGUUAUCCGGAUUUAUUGGGUUUAAAGGGAGCGUAGGUGUAUUAUUAAGUCAGUUGUGAAAGUUUGUGGCUCAACCGUAAAAUUGCAGUUGAAACUGGCAGUCUUGAGUACAGUAGAGGUGGGCGGAAUUCGUGGUGUAGCGGUGAAAUGCUUAGAUAUCACGAAGAACUCCGAUUGCGAAGGCAGUUCACUGGACUGCAACUGACACUGAGGCUCGAAAGUGUGGGUAUCAAACAGGAUUAGAUACCCUUGUAGUC